Molecule: non-coding RNA, 479 nt
Organism: Meleagris gallopavo (turkey)
Lineage: Eukaryota; Metazoa; Chordata; Aves; Galliformes; Phasianidae
Source: RefSeq, a predicted model, not a curated record
GUGUUUCUAAUUUGAAUUUUCAUGAAGGCAGGCUUCUGCUAUUAAUUAAGAAACUCUGUUGCCUGUGAGAGGGUAGAUUCCUGCAAGAUUUUAGGAUGGUAGAAUUCAACUUGUUGUUAACCAAUUUACUGGAAGGUCAAAUAGCUCAGGAAUUGCAUUUUUCAGGGAACAUCAGUUUGAUACCGUUUGCGGUGUUGACCUUUAUUUUCAGUAACUCUUGUUGUAUGUUUGUUCUUGGUUUUCAAAGGAGCAAGUAGUUGUUAAUCUCCAGAACCAACUUCUGCAGUGUGAAUGGCUUUCCUGUAAACUGUUCUGGUGCAGUUAGAAGCUGAUGAUCUUGGAGUUAAUUGGCAAUUUCAGAGAAUUUGGAGAGGAGACCUUGGAAGCCUUUUAGAAGGUAUCGUUUGGACAGAAAAUAGUGCACCCAUGGAACAGCAAACUCCCAGCUCUUCCAAUCUUCUGGCGAAUGGAAAUGAAAA